GUCCUUGUAGCUCAGCUGGAUAGAGCAUUGGUUUGCGGAACCAAAGGUCGUAGGUUCAAAUCCUGCCAAGGACA
This 74-nucleotide transfer RNA is filed under the name bacterium. RNAcentral describes it as "tRNA-Arg". It matches the Rfam family "tRNA". Rfam says of the family: Transfer RNA (tRNA) molecules are approximately 80 nucleotides in length. Their secondary structure includes four short double-helical elements and three loops (D, anti-codon, and T loops). The record is from RNAcentral.